Molecule: unclassified non-coding RNA, 375 nt
Filed under: uncultured Ignavibacteria bacterium
Lineage: Bacteria; Pseudomonadati; Ignavibacteriota; Ignavibacteria
Description: contains 16S-23S intergenic spacer region
Source: RNAcentral
UCACUACUUGCGUAGGCAGUUAGUUUAGAGUUCCCGGCAUUAUCCGCUGGCAACUAAACUCAGGGGUUGCGCUCGUUGCUGGACUUAACCAAACACCUCACGGCACGAGCUGACGACAGCCAUGCAGCACCUGUACCGCCCCCCUUGCGGGUAGCCCACUUUCAUGGGUUUAGACGGCCUUUCAAGCCUAGGUAAGGUUCUUCGCGUUGCAUCGAAUUGAACCACAUGCUCCACUGCUUGUGCGGGCCCCCGUCAAUUCCUUUGAGUUUCAACCUUGCGAUUGUACUUCCCAGGUGGAAUACUUAAUGCGUUAGCUUGGAUACUGAUCUUAAAAAAGACCAACAUCUAGUAUUCAUCGUUUAGGGUGUGGACUAC